UACAGAGGUGGCAAGCGUUGUUCGGAAUUACUGGGCGUAAAGGGCGCGUAGGCGGUCUUUUAAGUUCCGUGUGAAAUCCCUCGGCUCAACUGGGGAACUGCACGGAAAACUGGGAGGCUUGAGUUCGGGAGAGGGAAGCGGAAUUCCGGGUGUAGCGGUGAAAUGCGCAGAUAUCGGGAGGAACACCUAUGGCGAAGGCAGCUCGCUGGGACGUUACUGACGCUGAGACGCGAAAGCGUGGGGAGCAAACAGG
RNAcentral lists this ribosomal RNA (253 nucleotides) under uncultured bacterium. Its description in RNAcentral is "partial 16S ribosomal RNA". It matches the Rfam family "Bacterial small subunit ribosomal RNA", at positions 524 to 776 of the family's 1533-position model. The record is from RNAcentral.